GAGUAACACGUGGGUAACCUACCUAUAAGACUGGGAUAACUCCGGGAAACCGGGGCUAAUACCGGAUAAUAUUUUGAACCGCAUGGUUCAAUAGUGAAAGACGGUUUCGGCUGUCACUUAUAGAUGGACCCGCGCCGUAUUAGCUAGUUGGUAAGGUAAUGGCUUACCAAGGCGACGAUACGUAGCCGACCUGAGAGGGUGAUCGGCCACACUGGAACUGAGACACGGUCCAGACUCCUACGGGAGGCAGCAGUAGGGAAUCUUCCGCAAUGGGCGAAAGCCUGACGGAGCAACGCCGCGUGAGUGAUGAAGGUCUUCGGAUCGUAAAACUCUGUUGUUAGGGAAGAACAAAUUUGUUAGUAACUGAACAAGUCUUGACGGUACCUAACCAGAAAGCCACGGCUAACUACGUGCCAGCAGCCGCGGUAAUACGUAGGUGGCAAGCGUUAUCCGGAAUUAUUGGGCGUAAAGCGCGCGUAGGCGGUUUCUUAAGU
RNAcentral lists this ribosomal RNA (494 nucleotides) under Mammaliicoccus sciuri. RNAcentral describes it as "bacterial SSU rRNA". It matches the Rfam family "Bacterial small subunit ribosomal RNA", at positions 108 to 588 of the family's 1533-position model. The record is from RNAcentral. Lineage: Bacteria; Bacillati; Bacillota; Bacilli; Caryophanales; Staphylococcaceae.